Molecule: ribosomal RNA, 497 nt
Filed under: uncultured bacterium
Lineage: Bacteria
Description: partial 16S ribosomal RNA
Rfam family: Bacterial small subunit ribosomal RNA
Source: RNAcentral
GAUGAACGCUGGCGGCGUGCCUAAUACAUGCAAGUCGAGCGAACGGACGAGAAGCUUGCUUCUCUGAUGUUAGCGGCGGACGGGUGAGUAACACGUGGAUAACCUACCUAUAAGACUGGGAUAACUUCGGGAAACCGGAGCUAAUACCGGAUGAUAUUUUGAACCGCAUGGUUCAAAAGUGAAAGACGGUCUUGCUGUCACUUAUAGAUGGAUCCGCGCUGCAUUAGCUAGUUGGUAAGGUAACGGCUUACCAAGGCAACGAUGCAUAGCCGACCUGAGAGGGGGAUCGGCCCACCUGGAACUUGAACCCGGUCCCAACUCCUACGGGAGGCAGCAGUAGGGAAUCUUCCGGAAUGGGCGAAAGCCUGACGGAGCCACGCCGCGUGAGUGAUGAAGGUCUUCCGGUUGUAAAACUCUGUUAUUAGGGAAGAACAUAUGUGUAAGUAACUGUGCACAUCUUGACGGUACCUAAUCAGAAAGCCACGGCUAACUACGUG